RNAcentral lists this ribosomal RNA (727 nucleotides) under Candidatus Regiella insecticola. RNAcentral's name for it is "bacterial SSU rRNA". It matches the Rfam family "Bacterial small subunit ribosomal RNA", at positions 120 to 842 of the family's 1533-position model. The record is from RNAcentral. Lineage: Bacteria; Pseudomonadati; Pseudomonadota; Gammaproteobacteria; Enterobacterales; Enterobacteriaceae.
GGGRAUCUGGCUUAUGGAGGGGGAUAACCAUUGGAAACGGUGGCUAAUACCGCAUGAUGUCGCAAGACCAAAGUGGGGGACCUUARGGCCUCACGCCAUGAGAUGAACCCAGAUGAGAUUAGCUAGUAGGUGCGGUAAUGGCGUACCUAGGCGACGAUCUCUAGCUGGUCUGAGAGGAUGACCAGCCACACUGGAACUGAGAGACGGUCCAGACUCCUACGGGAGGCAGCAGUGGGGAAUAUUGCACAAUGGGCGGAAGCCUGAUGCAGCCAUGCCGCGUGUGUGAAGAAGGCCUUAGGGUUGUAAAGCACUUUCAGCGGGGAGGAAGGCGGUAAGAGUAAUAUGCUUAUCRAUUGACGUUACCCGCAAAAGAAGCACCGGCUAACUCCGUGCCAGCAGCCGCGGUAAUACGGAGGGUGCGAGCGUUAAUCGGAAUAACUGGGCGUAAAGRGCAUGUAGGCGGUAAGUUAAGUCAGAUGUGAAAUCCCCGAGCUUAACUUGGGAACGGCAUUUGAGACUGGCUGGCUAGAGUUUUGUAGAGGGGGGUAGAAUUCCAGGUGUAGCGGUGAAAUGCGUAGAGAUCUGGAGGAAUACCGGUGGCGAAGGCGGCCCCCUGGACAAGGACUGACGCUGAGGUGCGAAAGCGUGGGUAGCAAACAGGAUUAGAUACCCUGGUAGUCCACGCUGUAAACGAUGUCGAUUUGGAGGUUGUGACCUAGUGUUAUGG